CGCGGUGCGGGCGGGCAGCAGACGGCGUUGCGGGGGGUCGCCGGUCGUCGGGGGAAGCUCUGGCAGGGGCAGCGCGACAGCGCGGAUCCGGUGACGCGGUUGGCGCGGCGAGGCGAGGUCCGUGUCGACGCCUAGGACGACCAAGACCUCCGGCGGCGUGGUCCGAACUCCGGCGAGGACGGCGGGUGAUGUUCCGGGUGCUACAGGGCAUCAAAAGCGAAACCGCGUGCGUCAAAACAUGCGCGAGGACGAGGAGGUCAUGAAAUUGGAGGGCUCGGGCAACAAGGCUCACCGGGGUGAUGGCCGUGUCUCCAAAACGGCGGCGGCGGCGGAAAACUCCGGCGAGCAAUUAGACGGCGUGGGCGUGGGGUUGAGCAAGGGGGUGCGGGGGAAAUGAGAGAGGGUGAGGCCCUCUUUAUAGUGACGCGAGAGGUGUGGUUAAUGGGGUGCUCUAAAUCCCGGAUUGAAGACAAGCAAUCAAGUCGGUCUUAGCUAGAUUCAGUCGGGUCGGCCUGGUUUCUCUUUUUUUUUAUCUUUUCUUUUCUCUUUUUCUUUUUCUGUUUUUCCCUCCUAACUUUUGAUUUAUAACUCCAAAUGACUCCAAAUAAAAUCCAGAAAAUUUGUAAAAUCCUAUCCUUCAAUGCUAAAGCAUCUGGGGCUGGAUUCUUUCCAAAAGCAAAAAAAUUUUAAAAUAGUUUUGCUUAAAAUAGUUGCCUCUAAUGCAAUAAUAUUUAGGAAUAAAUAGUUUUUCAACUCCAAAUCAAUUUCCAAAAAUUAUGGGGUAGCUUAUCUUGAUGCAAUAAACCCUUUUAUAAUGGCUAAGCCCUCAUGGGUUGAGAAACUCCAAAUGAACCAAAGAUGAUUAGAAAGUAAAGGCUAAAUAAAAAGGAUUUUUAACUUUUGUUAAAUGGUCUAUAUUGCUCAAAGUGCAUAAAUGGCAUGA
RNAcentral lists this long non-coding RNA (943 nucleotides) under Brachypodium distachyon (stiff brome). Its description in RNAcentral is "long non-coding RNA (BDIS_LNC002453)". Lineage: Eukaryota; Viridiplantae; Streptophyta; Magnoliopsida; Poales; Poaceae. The record is from RNAcentral.